RNAcentral lists this ribosomal RNA (495 nucleotides) under uncultured bacterium. Its description in RNAcentral is "partial 16S ribosomal RNA". It matches the Rfam family "Bacterial small subunit ribosomal RNA", at positions 30 to 523 of the family's 1533-position model. The record is from RNAcentral.
AUUGAACGCUGGCGGCAUGCCUUACACAUGCAAGUCGAACGGCAGCACGGGAGCAAUCCUGGUGGCGAGUGGCGAACGGGUGAGUAAUAUAUCGGAACGUGCCCAGUCGUGGGGGAUAACGUAGCGAAAGCUACGCUAAUACCGCAUACGAUCUAUGGAUGAAAGCGGGGGAUCGCAAGACCUCGCGCGAUUGGAGCGGCCGAUAUCAGCUAGUUGGUGGGGUAAAGGCUCACCAAGCCAACGAUCUGUAGCUGGUCUGAGAGGACGACCAGCCACACUGGGACUGAGACACGGCCCAGACUCCUACGGGAGGCAGCAGUGGGGAAUUUUGGACAAUGGGCGCAAGCCUGAUCCAGCAAUGCCGCGUGCAGGAAGAAGGCCUUCGGGUUGUAAACUGCUUUUGUACGGAACGAAACGGCGAGCUCUAAUACAGUUUGCUAAUGACGGUACCGUAAGAAUAAGCACCGGCUAACUACGUGCCAGCCGCCGCCGUAA